ACAGAUAAGGAGCUUGCUCCUUUGACGUUAGCGGCGGACGGGUGAGUAACACGUGGGUAACCUACCUAUAAGACUGGGAUAACUUCGGGAAACCGGAGCUAAUACCGGAUAACAUUUGGAACCGCAUGGUUCUAAAGUGAAAGAUGGUUUUGCUAUCACUUAUAGAUGGACCCGCGCCGUAUUAGCUAGUUGGUAAGGUAACGGCUUACCAAGGCGACGAUACGUAGCCGACCUGAGAGGGUGAUCGGCCACACUGGAACUGAGACACGGUCCAGACUCCUACGGGAGGCAGCAGUAGGGAAUCUUCCGCAAUGGGCGAAAGCCUGACGGAGCAACGCCGCGUGAGUGAUGAAGGGUUUCGGCUCGUAAAACUCUGUUAUUAGGGAAGAACAAACGUGUAAGUAACUGUGCACGUCUUGACGGUACCUAAUCAGAAAGCCACGGCUAACUACGUGCCAGCAGCCGCGGUAAUACGUAGGUGGCAAGCGUUAUCCGGAAUUAUUGGGCGUAAAGCGCGCGUAGGCGGUUUCUUAAGUCUGAUGUGAAAGCCCACGGCUCAACCGUGGAGGGUCAUUGGAAACUGGGAAACUUGAGUGCAGAAGAGGAAAGUGGAAUUCCAUGUGUAGCGGUGAAAUGCGCAGAGAUAUGGAGGAACACCAGUGGCGAAGGCGACUUUCUGGUCUGUAACUGACGCUGAUGUGCGAAAGCGUGGGGAUCAAACAGGAUUAGAUACCCUGGUAGUCCACGCCGUAAACGAUGAGUGCUAAGUGUUAGGGGGUUUCCGCCCCUUAGUGCUGCAGCUAACGCAUUAAGCACUCCGCCUGGGGAGUACGACCGCAAGGUUGAAACUCAAAGGAAUUGACGGGGACCCGCACAAGCGGUGGAGCAUGUGGUUUAAUUCGAAGCAACGCGAAGAACCUUACCAAAUCUUGACAUCCUUUGAAAACUCUAGAGAUAGAGCCUUCCCCUUCGGGGGACAAAGUGACAGGUGGUGCAUGGUUGUCGUCAGCUCGUGUCGUGAGAUGUUGGGUUAAGUCCCGCAACGAGCGCAACCCUUAAGCUUAGUUGCCAUCAUUAAGUUGGGCACUCUAGGUUGACUGCCGGUGACAAACCGGAGGAAGGUGGGGAUGACGUCAAAUCAUCAUGCCCCUUAUGAUUUGGGCUACACACGUGCUACAAUGGACAAUACAAAGGGCAGCUAAACCGCGAGGUCAUGCAAAUCCCAUAAAGUUGUUCUCAGUUCGGAUUGUAGUCUGCAACUCGACUACAUGAAGCUGGAAUCGCUAGUAAUCGUAGAUCAGCAUGCUACGGUGAAUACGUUCCCGGGUCUUGUACACACCGCCGCGUCACACCACGAGAGUUUGUAACACCCGAAGCCGGUGGAGUAACCA
RNAcentral lists this ribosomal RNA (1391 nucleotides) under Staphylococcus saprophyticus. RNAcentral's name for it is "bacterial SSU rRNA". It matches the Rfam family "Bacterial small subunit ribosomal RNA", at positions 69 to 1441 of the family's 1533-position model. Lineage: Bacteria; Bacillati; Bacillota; Bacilli; Caryophanales; Staphylococcaceae. The record is from RNAcentral.